GCGCGCCCCGCCAGGUGGGGGUUCCGGGGCGCUCGCGAGCCCGCCAGGAGGGGCCUGGUGCGGUGGGCUGCCCCUACGCCUCGCGCCGAGCGCUCCGAAGAGCUGUACUCCAGGAGCGCGAGCUUCUGCAGGCCUCACAACCGGACGACCUCCAGGAGCCUCCUCAGAUCUGCGGCUCGGUUGGCAUAUUCCGUCUCUUCCUACCUUCAGGUCCCUCAUCACCAGCUCCGGGACUUCCAGAGCCGUUAGGCCUUUCGAAUAACUCUUUCUUUGGAAAAGGAACACACUCAGGAAGAAAUUCAAAUUGGGACUGAAGUAGUGACUGAGCAACCCCUUCCCCAAGCCCAGCGAUAAAAGUCUGGCCUCUUGUUCAGUGGUGACUUGAAGAGUUAAGAAGGGGAACUGGCACCCACAUAAGGGGUGUUACAGCAUGGAGAAAAGACAAUAGCCACAGGAGGCAAGAUGGUGAACAAGAGCCAAGAACCCAGAGCAAGAUGUAAUCAGAAGAUUAGAUCUUGGGACUCAUCAUUCCCACCCUUGCAACAAGAAAAUGCUGAAAAACUGAAAAUCGGAGAAUUGAGGUCACAGUGCAAACCACAUCCCUGAAAAAUUGGAGAUACAGGCAGAUACAGAAAAUCACAGCCUACUAGGAGCUGAAACUGCCACUGGAUCCAACAUCUGAUAGGAAUAUUGUCCUGUGGGGAUUAAUUUUGAAAUAAAGAAAUGCUCAAGUUUA
Molecule: long non-coding RNA, 736 nt
Organism: Loxodonta africana (African savanna elephant)
Lineage: Eukaryota; Metazoa; Chordata; Mammalia; Proboscidea; Elephantidae
Exons: 4
Source: RefSeq, a predicted model, not a curated record